This 997-nucleotide ribosomal RNA is filed under the name Thonalmus bicolor. Its description in RNAcentral is "SSU rRNA". It matches the Rfam family "Eukaryotic small subunit ribosomal RNA", at positions 394 to 1344 of the family's 1831-position model. Lineage: Eukaryota; Metazoa; Arthropoda; Insecta; Coleoptera; Lycidae. The record is from RNAcentral.
UCCUGAGAAAAGGCUACCACAUCCAAGGAAGGCAGCAGGCGCGCAAAUUACCCACUCCCGGCACGGGGAGGUAGUGACGAAAAAUAACGAUACGGGACUCAUCCGAGGCCCCGUAAUCGGAAUGAGAACAAUUUAAAUCCUUUAACGAGGAUCAAUUGGAGGGCAAGUCUGGUGCCAGCAGCCGCGGUAAUUCCAGCUCCAAUAGCGUAUAUUAAAGUUGUUGCGGUUAAAAAGCUCGUAGUCGAAUCUGUGUCCCGCGCCGCCGGUUCGUCGCUCGCGGCGUUUAACUGGCGUGUCCGCGGGACGUCCUGCCGGUGGGCUUAGCUUCUCCUUUGGGGCGGCCCAAUUAUAAUCCCGCCGCGGUGCUCUUUACCGAGUGUCGAGGCGGGCCGGCACGUUUACUUUGAACAAAUUAGAGUGCUUAAAGCAGGCUAAAACUUUGCCUGAAUACUUCGUGCAUGGAAUAAUGGAAUAGGACCUCGGUUCUAUUUUGUUGGUUUUCGGAACCCCGAGGUAAUGAUUAAUAGGAACGGAUGGGGGCAUUCGUAUUGCGACGUUAGAGNUGAAAUUNCUUGGAUCGUCGCAAGACGGACAGAAGCGAAAGCAUUUGCCAAAAACGUUUUCAUUGAUCAAGAACGAAAGUUAGAGGUUCGAAGGCGAUCAGAUACCGCCCUAGUUCUAACCAUAAACGAUGCCAGCUAGCGAUCCGCCGAAGUUCCUCCGAUGACUCGGCGGGCAGCUUCCGGGAAACCAAAGCUUUUGGGUUCCGGGGGAAGUAUGGUUGCAAAGCUGAAACUUAAAGGAAUUGACGGAAGGGCACCACCAGGAGUGGAGCCUGCGGCUUAAUUUGACUCAACACGGGAAACCUCACCAGGCCCGGACACCGGAAGGAUUGACAGAUUGAGAGCUCUUUCUUGAUUCGGUGGGUGGUGGUGCAUGGCCGUUCUUAGUUGGUGGAGCGAUUUGUCUGGUUAAUUCCGAUAACGAACGAGACUCA